GCCGCAAUCACUUCCCUAUGUGGAGGCAGCUGAGGAGUCAUUGGAAAGCUUCUUCCAAGCCCUCGAGUUACAAGAAACCAUCUCAGGCAAUGGAGGGGCUAUGGCUAUGGUAGCCAAAAUAAUGACAAGGAGUGGGUACGAAGAAGGCAAAGGCCUAGGCGCCACAUUACAGGGAAUCGUUGAACCCAUACCAACUAUCCAGAAGGUAGGCCGCUGCGGUUUGGGUUAUGAGGAAGAUGCCCUUAUGGAUGGGCAUUUCUGGAUGAGGAAAAUGCUCCGGGAUCAAAGGUUCGAUCGGAAAAUG
RNAcentral lists this unclassified non-coding RNA (304 nucleotides) under Hevea brasiliensis (rubber tree). The record is from RNAcentral. Lineage: Eukaryota; Viridiplantae; Streptophyta; Magnoliopsida; Malpighiales; Euphorbiaceae.